Molecule: ribosomal RNA, 220 nt
Filed under: uncultured bacterium
Lineage: Bacteria
Description: partial 16S ribosomal RNA
Rfam family: Bacterial small subunit ribosomal RNA
Source: RNAcentral
GAUCUGGCUCAGGACGAACGCUGGCGGCGUGCCUAAUACAUGCAAGUAGAACGCUGAAGGAGGAGCUUGCUUCUCUGGAUGAGUUGCGAACGGGUGAGUAACGCGUAGGCAACCUGCCUGGUAGCGGGGGAUAACUAUUGGAAACGAUAGCUAAUACCGCAUAAUAGUAGAUGUUGCAUGACAUUUGCUUAAAAGGUGCAAUUGCAUCACUACCAGAUGG